Molecule: ribosomal RNA, 429 nt
Filed under: Actinomycetes bacterium
Lineage: Bacteria; Bacillati; Actinomycetota; Actinomycetes
Description: Actinobacteria bacterium partial 16S ribosomal RNA
Rfam family: Bacterial small subunit ribosomal RNA
Source: RNAcentral
UAGGGAAUCUUCCGCAAUGGGCGAAAGCCUGACGGAGCAACGCCGCGUGAGUGAUGAAGGUCUUCGGAUCGUAAAACUCUGUUAUUAGGGAAGAACAUACGUGUAAGUAACUAUGCACGUCUUGACGGUACCUAAUCAGAAAGCCACGGCUAACUACGUGCCAGCAGCCGCGGUAAUACGUAGGUGGCAAGCGUUAUCCGGAAUUAUUGGGCGUAAAGCGCGCGUAGGCGGUUUUUUAAGUCUGAUGUGAAAGCCCACGGCUCAACCGUGGAGGGUCAUUGGAAACUGGAAAACUUGAGUGCGGAAGAGGAAAGUGGAAUUCCAUGUGUAGCGGUGAAAUGCGCAGAGAUAUGGAGGAACACCAGUGGCGAAGGCGACUUUCUGGUCUGUAACUGACGCUGAUGUGCGAAAGCGUGGGGAUCAAACAGG